UGGGUCAACUCAACUCAAC
Molecule: small nuclear RNA, 19 nt
Filed under: Arabidopsis thaliana (thale cress)
Lineage: Eukaryota; Viridiplantae; Streptophyta; Magnoliopsida; Brassicales; Brassicaceae
Description: snRNA_00473
Source: RNAcentral